Molecule: ribosomal RNA, 246 nt
Filed under: uncultured Lactobacillus sp.
Lineage: Bacteria; Bacillati; Bacillota; Bacilli; Lactobacillales; Lactobacillaceae
Description: partial 16S ribosomal RNA
Rfam family: Bacterial small subunit ribosomal RNA
Source: RNAcentral
CGUGGGUAACCUGCCCAAGAGAUCGGGAUAACACCUGGAAACAGAUGCUAAUACCGGAUAACAACAGAUGAUGCCUAUCAACUGUUUAAAAGAUGGUUCUGCUAUCACUCUUGGAUGGACCUACGGUGCAUUAGCUAGUUGGUAGGGUAACGGCCUACCAAGGCGAUGAUGCAUAGCCGAGUUGAGAGACUGAUCGGCCACAUUGGGACUGAGACACGGCCCAAACUCCUACGGGAGGCAGCAGAC